Molecule: ribosomal RNA, 429 nt
Filed under: Bacillota bacterium
Lineage: Bacteria; Bacillati; Bacillota
Description: Firmicutes bacterium partial 16S ribosomal RNA
Rfam family: Bacterial small subunit ribosomal RNA
Source: RNAcentral
UGGGGAAUUUUGGACAAUGGGCGAAAGCCUGAUCCAGCAAUGCCGCGUGUGUGAAGAAGGCCUUCGGGUUGUAAAGCACUUUUGUCCGGAAAGAAAUGGCUCUGGUUAAUACCUGGGGUCGAGGACGGUACCGGAAGAAUAAGGACCGGCUAACUACGUGCCAGCAGCCGCGGUAAUACGUAGGGUCCAAGCGUUAAUCGGAAUUACUGGGCGUAAAGCGUGCGCAGGCGGUUGUGCAAGACCGAUGUGAAAUCCCCGAGCUUAACUUGGGAAUUGCAUUGGUGACUGCACGGCUAGAGUGUGUCAGAGGGGGGUAGAAUUCCACGUGUAGCAGUGAAAUGCGUAGAGAUGUGGAGGAAUACCGAUGGCGAAGGCAGCCCCCUGGGAUAACACUGACGCUCAUGCACGAAAGCGUGGGGAGCAAACAGG